This is a long non-coding RNA of Acinonyx jubatus (cheetah), 6928 nucleotides long. RefSeq lists it as uncharacterized. The record is from RefSeq and is a predicted model, not a curated record. The transcript is spliced from 5 exons. Lineage: Eukaryota; Metazoa; Chordata; Mammalia; Carnivora; Felidae.
AGUGACUUUUCCUCCUUCCUGGGCUUGCUCACUUCCUUUCCCUUUACCCCUGCUUCCUGGGAUCUCCUCCCAAACGAACGAGUCCUGUCUCAGGCUCUGCUUCUGGGGGAACCCAAGCUAAGACAGAAGUGCUAUUAACAACUUGAGGAUCUGAAUGCCAUCUCUUACCUUUCAGAAUUGUCACUUACACCUAAACCAGAGAGGAGGAGAGUCUCAACACUGGCUUUGAAACGCCUCUGACCCACAGGAAAGGGCUGUUUUCAAGUGUCAGGAGGAAGCCCGGGGAGCUUGGCUUGGAAAGACUUACAGUGCAGAGGACAGCAGACACAGCAGAGUGUGGGAGGUAAUGCCUGAAGCUUAACUAGAGGGUUUCAGUGAAAGUUUGCAGACUGCCUGCAAGGACCUCCCCCAGAGCCUUCCUCGGAGGCUGGCGGUCAAGCACGGACUCCCCAAGAGAAAGACUGAAGAGGAUAAGUACCCCCAGACUGACAAGUUAACGCGAAGGUGUGUGAUGAAAAGACAAUGACACAGGAGCUGACAAUUCUGACAAGAAUAUGACAGACCAUGUUAUGAGAGAAAUCAGUCAGUCUCUUUCCUCCCACAUCCCCUCUGGUGGGCACAUUGGUUAUUAUGGGUCCACUUGGGCCCCCGAUUCAUAUAGGCUGAUGCCCUAACCCUCAGUAUGACUCAGAAUGUGACUGUAUUUGGAGACAGGGCCUUUAAAGAGGGAACUAAGUUCAAAUGGGGUCGUUAGGGUGGGCCCUAAUUUAACAUGGCAGAUGUCCCGUGAGAAGAUUAGGAGACAGACAACAGACAGAGGGUUGACUGUGUUAGGGCAAAGCAAGAAGGUGGCCAUCUGCAAACCAAGGAAAGAGGCCUCAGAAGGAACUACGACUGCCAACACUUAGAUCUCAGAUCUCCAGCCUCCAGAACCGCAAGAAAAUUGAUUUCUGUUGUUUAAGCCACCCGGCCCUAGCAGACUGAAACAUGACAAGGCCGGCGCUGGCCCCCCAAGCACCUCUGCAGAGACCCGGGAUGCCAGGGAGGCCCAUUUACAAGCCAGCAAUUCAAAAGAGAGGAGGCUAAGGGUAAGUGUCGGCUGGACCCUUCUUCCCAUACUCUCCUGGUUCCAUGUUCUCCUCGCUUCCGUCAAUAGUCCACGAAGACCUUCCUCCCCCGUUGGUCCAAACAAACCCACAUCGGAUCGACCAUUUUCUAGUGUCUGAGCUGACGUGCUAAGUGCAGAAGCUUUUCAACGUCCAGUAUUCGAAGUAUGGAGACUUUCUGUCUUGCUUACAAUUCAGCGAUUCUAUUUCUGCUGCCCUGUUAUUCUGGUACCUAUGUGCGAUUGCAUGGAACUGUGAAACGUUAAAAACUCAGGAGGAGCUCUUUUCUCCUGAAAUAUAAAGACUCUGUGAUACUGCUUCUUGCAAAAGUGUCUUUGAAGGCCUCCUACCAUGUGCCGGUGCUCAGCCCUGCAGAGGUGGGGCAGGGCGAGAGGGUGGGACCUCCUUGAUGAUGGGCAGGCUAGGGGACAUCCUCCAGGCUGUUGGUUGCCAAAAGGAUUCUGACGACUCGAAGCCCUUUCCCCUGUGGUCACUUUAGGUCUCCCGCUGUCGAAUGCCCCUCUGGUUCUGGCAACUGUCCUCUGACCACAAAGUAGGGCUUUGCCGAUGCCUGAUGUUUAUUUCCAUUUAAUUAAGUCUAGGUCACUUGUACUGUCUUGUUUUCUCCCAGUUCUUUCAAACCCAGCGUUUUGGAUCAAUGCAGGGAGGAAAAUCCAGGCUUCAAAGCUACUUCUACCUCUAGAUAAGUGUGUAAAAACAAACAAACAAACAAACAAACAAAUAUGGGGCGCCUGGGCGACUCAGUUGGGUGAGCGUCCAACUUCGGCUCAGGUCACAAUCUCACAGUUUGUGGGUUUGAGCCCCGCAUCGGGCUCUGUACUGACAGUUCAGAGCUGGCUUCAGAUCCUGUCUCCCUCUCUCUGCCCCUCCCCUGCUCAGACUCUGUCUCUCUUGUCUGUCUGUCUCUCUCUCUCACAAAGAAAUCAACAUUAAAAAAAUUUAAAGUAUGCCAUUUAAAAAACAAACAAAUAAAACAAAAGCACUAUAUAUUGGAAAGCUUUAGGUUUCCCAUUAAUUUCCACUUUUAUUUUUUUAAAUGAAGAGAGGAUAGAGAAGGGAGAACCAUGAAGGGCCACAGAGGAAAGGGACAAGAAGAAAAGCAGUAGCAGGGCAAGCCAGAGCCGCUGGAGUUCAUGGCUGGCAGGAGCGGAGUUGGGUGUCCUCGGCGCCGACCAGAGCAUAGCCAAGCCUUCUGAGCCUUGGUGGACCAUACUGGCAGCUCCAGGCCAGUGUGACCCCGAAGCCGGGCCAAAGACACCCUCGGGGAGUAACCAAGUUCAGGGUGGAGCUUCUUAGCAUGGUCACAAGGAGGAGGAGCAGAGGCCAAAAUGGCAGCUAAGGACAAAGGCUAGCAGCCUAGAAGCUGGCGUAGAAAUAAGACAAGAAGAAUCCCAGCAAUGGACAUUCUGGGCAGUUUCUGGGAAGCUUCUAUCAGCUGUUAGCUAGAGUCUGGAUGGCAAGAUGUUGGGCCAGACAGUUGGGUUAGAGGAGGGGAAAAACCAACCAUAAUGUCUUAGAGCUGUAUACACAGAGGGUUUCAGGUAACGCUUUAUGAGUGAAUUAGCCUUUGAAGACUAAUAUUUUUAGCUCUUUGCAGCUUUAGAGGACAUGUGUCACUGUCUCCUGCAGCCCUAACGUGACUACCUGACCCAGACCCAUCCCUGAGCCACAUAAAGACAGUGGCUGUAAAUGUGACAGGAAAUUGCCCACUGGCCCACAUACUACAUCUGGGGCGCCCAAGGUGGGGGCCGAAGGAUGAUUCCCUUAACCGGGCUCUGUCUUGCUCUUCCUCUGCCUUGUUUCCAGAUCUCACUUAUUUAUUCAGUAAAUGAUUAUUAAACCAUUACCGUAUGCCUUGCACCGUGCUAGGCAUGGGGCAUACGGUGGUGAACAAGACAGAAUUGAUCUCUAUCCUCAUAGACCUUAGAGUCUGGUGGAGAUUUCAGACAGGAAGGAGGCAAAGAAGCAUAAUAUAUAUACAAGAUACAUACAUGCGUUCAUGAAAAACUAUGACAGCACUGCUCUGUUUUUCCUUUACAAUCACUUGGUUACAUUCAUCUGAGGCUGUGUAUGGUUGAAUCCAUAGAUUCGAAUUCAAAGAUCUGGAGACACCCUCACUAUCAGGAACUGAUCACAAGGUGACACAUGCCCAGACUGGUUCCACUCCGAUCUUGCCUUCAUCUCCCUCUACAGCAUUAUUCAGGUGGCCUUUCUAUAAACAAACAAACAAACAAAUAAAUAAAAGGGCAUUUCAGGAAUGUGUGCCCAGAUCCUAUAGUUUCCCACCUCUCCAAGCUGAACUCAUUCCUUGGUUCAAAUGGCUUUUUCCUAUGGUUCCUAAUUCCUUACUUUUGUAUCACUUAUCUGUGGUCACAAUAAUGCUGCAUAACAGACGGUCUCAAAGUCCAAAAUAAUAAACAUCUACUUAGUUUAUGGGUCUGUGUGCUGGAGGUUUAGGCUGAGCUGGCCAAGCAGUUCUGGUCUCAGAACUCACUCACGUAUCUGGUAAUUGUCUGACUAUUGGCCAUCUUGGCUGGGAUGGCUGAUGAUUCAACUCUGCUCCCACGUUUGUGUCCCAUCCUCCAGCAGACUAGCUGGGGCACGUUGUCUUGGUGGCGACAGAAGACAAGAACAGAAAUGCACAUGGAAACAUGUAAGUGCUCUUUCAAGCAUCUGCUUGUGUCUCGCCCACUAAUAUCCCAUUGGAUAAAGCAAGUCACAUGUCUGGAUGCACAGACAGUAGGAGGUCUUCAGAGGUCAUGGCUACAAGAAGGGGUGGGGAACUAGGAUCGUGGAUGUGAUCACUUUACCAUACCUACCAUCUCCUUUUUUUGCUUUUUGGAUGAAUGAAGAGAGCUCAUCUGAUUGGGACGUUUGCUUGAUUUAAUACUGGGACAUCACUGGCAAUUUUUGUGUUCAUAUUUUUAAAAUUUGCCAACAGUAAAAUUUACCUUUUUGGGUGUAUAUAAUUCUAUGAUUUUUUUUUAACACCGGCAAGGACUCGUAUAAUGACAAAUAAGACACAGAGCAGUUCCUCCCAGAAUUCCUCAGGUCACUGACAUUUUGAGACCUCACGUCUGGAUGCAGCUUCCCCCAAAAAACUGGUAUGUUUGAGUGCAAAAAAGUUAAAGCCUUAGCAACGCCUCUGGGCUAUUGUGUAGCCCAAACUUGAGGUGUCACCAAGAUAAACGAGUCAAAAGAGUUAGACAUCAGAUGGAAUGCCUUGUGAAGACUUUGGUAUUAAGAAAUUCUAAAAGUUUCAAGCCGGAGGGAUCUGAACUUGAAGAGAUCACUACAUUAAACAAUAACCUAAAUCCCAGAGGGGUUUGAGUGCAUUUUCAAAAUGAGGGAGGCAUGGAGAGAGAAAGAAGAAGAGAGGGAGAGAGAGAGAGAGAACAAGGACCUAUGCCUCUCGCUCAGUCCGCUGUUGCUCAAAGCUUCUCCCAUUUGCCCUUCAUCUCUGCUACGAUGUUCAUCUCUGCCCUUUGACUUUAUUUUCCUACUAUCUGGCCCAGUGAGAAUAGACUGGCCUAUCAAUUCUCUGUUGUCUUAAUUCCUCUUGUGGAAGCUGAAGGUCUUGUUUUCUUCCAAGAAAGCCCAUUUGGUGCUAACUGAUCUGAGGUGCCUCCCCUAGGUUUGCAGAGGGAGCCAGGUUUUAGUUCCUGGAAAAUGUAAGACACAAUUUGAUCUUUGCUACCCUCUUGGACUCCUGCCAAGUUCCCUUUCCCUGUCUCAGAGCUCUCCCAGCUGCCAGGGAAUUUGAUCUGGAUUUGUCUUAUCAGUCCUAGGGCAAUAAGCAGGUGAUGAAUGAGAGGGACUGGGGAGGCAGCUGUCUCUUCUUCGAGGCCACUGGCAUUUUUGAAAGGGACUAUGUGUGUGGCAGUUGCUGGAAAUGGAGGUAAACCUCACUCCCGUGCUCCUUGGUCCAAGGUCUAUAGUAUUCGUCUGUCUCUUCCCCCUGCAGCUAACUUAGAGGUGGCCCUUUCUUCUUGACGGUUCUUGGCCUUCAUGGGGCUUUGCAGUGGCCUGGUCCAGAACAGAAUUUCCUGGGUAUGAUUUUGAUCGAUCUUUAAAACAUCGCUCACACUUACAAAUCAUGCCCAGCGCCUCGAACUGAGUGUGCAAAUGUGCAACAGGUGGAUGCGAGAUUAAAGAUGUGAGAUUAAAGAAUCAAGGAGAAGCUGUUGAGUCAUGGCGUCUGAUCCACUCAGACCUGCUACGCUCUCUUCAAGAACCUGCGAUGUCCUUUGAGAGGGUCUGCUUGUGAGUUGCACGUCUUCUGCUCGGCUGCAGGGAGGAAAGCCCUCCAUUUCUGCCGGAGUAAAAACGUGAGCAGGGAAGAUGGAACCUAGACUCAUGGACAUCUGGACCCAGCUGGACAAACCCCUGUAUGAUGAAGGCACUGGGCCGAUUCUGUAGGACGCUGUUUGCCUCCCUGUCCCGAAUAGAAGUGUACCCAGCCUGCCCAGCUGACACCUCAGCAUUCCUGUGCCUCGGGGGUCUGAUGCCACAAAACAAGUCAACCGUCAUUUAGGGGAGUCAUUUCAAGGUUUCCCAUGUCUGCUCUCCGGCUCGCUUUCCCUCUGCUCCUGUCACCAGGAUGUCAGCACCCAGAUUAGCGCGAGGCCCCAACCCAAGCAAGCAUCAACUGGGUUGUCAGCCCCGUGAAUGACCCACCCUGGGGACCUGCUGUUCUAGCCUUGCCUCAGCUGUCACCUUCCUGUGGCCUUUCGCUUUCCUUCGGCAUGAAGAAGUGCCAAAAACAGCAGUCGGCUUCCCCCUGAGGAAGAAGAAGCUACGUGCAAGGUCAGGUAAACGCGGGGCCUAAGAAAGUCUCCCCUCCCCCACCCCACGUAUACUGUGUCUUAUCCUCACUCCAAGCUAAGGACCUCUAUCUAAAUCCAGCCACAGCACCGAUCCCGAAUGGCAGGAAAGUGUUCAACCCAGAAGCCACAUCCUCUGCAGUGCCACAGCCAACACCAGUGAGGGACACGAAGUUAAAUCGAAAUGGAAUUUGAACGACAAAGUGACAUGAUGUCCAUCUCCCUAACGAUGGGACGAGUUGGCCUUCCGUCACUGGCAAGGCAAAACUGCCAGGCCCAGAUCUGUAUUUAAAAGCUAUUUUGCAUGGCUUUAAGUCACCAGCUCAGCUCAAUAUCUAAAACAAAGAGAAUGCAUUAUGGAACAGGACGAAGGGAGCUUGUUAAUUUUCCCACUGAUGCACUGUGAAAUGAAAGCUUUAUUCUAAGAAUGGUAUAUCCUCAGGGCUCUCUCUGGAGAGACGCUGACAAAUCCAAGUGUCCUUACUGUUUCCUUUACCCCCUGCUUCACGGCUUUUUUAUACACAUUUACCAAAUAUGUAUAUUUCAUGGUAUGUCAGUAUCUGUAGGACUCAGUGAGUUCAAGUCUGUGAUUCUUUUCAGGGCUUCUUUGACAAUAGAGUGCUCAGGUGAUGUUAUUGAUGAACAUACACACACACACACACACACACACACACACACACGUUUGAUUGUGUACAGCCCGUCUGUGUAUAUUAUAGAAGUGUCCGUGCAGCCUGCGAGCUAUUGUCCAUGCUAGUGAGCUGUAUAGCCCAUCUCCAAUUGGAACCCAAUGAAAUAAUCAUGAUAAUUUUGCCUUCGUGUAUCACCUUUCAUCAGGGAGGAUGAAAGGGCUUCACAAACUCUGGGUUCCUCUUUGAUCCAGGCUACUAUCUGGUGUACCAAUCUCCACUGUGCAUUCUGCCCUCACCCCGCAGAUGGGCCUCCCAUUGACAGUAAUUGAACUUCCACAUGCGGAGCUCC